GGGGAAGGGUAGCUUGCUACCUGACCUAGCGGCGGACGGGUGAGUAAUGCUUAGGAAUCUGCCUAUUAGUGGGGGACAACAUUCCGAAAGGAAUGCUAAUACCGCAUACGCCCUACGGGGGAAAGCAGGGGAUCUUCGGACCUUGCGCUAAUAGAUGAGCCUAAGUCAGAUUAGCUAGUUGGUGGGGUAAAGGCCUACCAAGGCGACGAUCUGUAGCGGGUCUGAGAGGAUGAUCCGCCACACUGGGACUGAGACACGGCCCAGACUCCUACGGGAGGCAGCAGUGGGGAAUAUUGGACAAUGGGCGAAAGCCUGAUCCAGCCAUGCCGCGUGUGUGAAGAAGGCCUUUUGGUUGUAAAGCACUUUAAGCGAGGAGGAGGCUACUGAGAUUAAUCUCUUGGAUAGUGGACGUUCUCGCAGAAUAAGCACCGGCUAACUCUGUGCCAGCAGCCGCGGUAAUACAGAGGGUGCGAGCGUUAAUCGGAUUUACUGGGCGUAAA
Molecule: ribosomal RNA, 500 nt
Filed under: uncultured bacterium
Lineage: Bacteria
Description: bacterial SSU rRNA
Rfam family: Bacterial small subunit ribosomal RNA
Source: RNAcentral